CAAAAAGUAGCUUUACCAAAGCACUCAGCUUACGCCUGAGAGAUGCCCACCAAAGGGCCUUUUUGC
This 66-nucleotide transfer RNA is filed under the name Bipes biporus. RNAcentral's name for it is "tRNA-Val". The record is from RNAcentral. Lineage: Eukaryota; Metazoa; Chordata; Lepidosauria; Squamata; Bipedidae.